This 245-nucleotide long non-coding RNA is filed under the name Nicotiana benthamiana. RNAcentral describes it as "long non-coding RNA (NBEN_LNC036473)". The record is from RNAcentral. Lineage: Eukaryota; Viridiplantae; Streptophyta; Magnoliopsida; Solanales; Solanaceae.
GCAGAAGUCUUUCCAAAGCCAAGUAUGGUUAAGCUUCUUGUCCCACCUCCUAAUGGAAACUCGGUCUUUUUUUUUGUCCGACAUGCCUAGAGAGCCUCUGACUACACUUCAUGCCAGAUCCUUGCUUGGGUUAUCCUUGAUCAUUUUUAGAACUCUUUCGUUAUUUACGUUCUUGAAUGGGGCUUCCACCCAUUUCAUUUUGACUCAGGCCUGAUGAGCUCCAACAAUCCCUUCGUGGACUUCCG